AGCCUGCUACAACUGGUGUUCUCUCCAGCUAUGGAAGAUGCAACGUCUGGGUUCCUGCUCUUCUUCCCACCUGACCCGCUACACGUCACUCUGUUCUACGACAGCAACCGCACAGACUGGUAUCAUGAUUCUUUAAGGUAAAACACAGACAGUCAUUCUAGGAAUAUGUAUGUGGCACCUGAGCGUUUGGCAGCUGCUACUGCUGAACAAUUUAUAACGAUAUAUGAUGUCGGAUGAAACGAUUUCACACAUUUCUCUUUCUCUCCAUGUUGAGCACCAGAAAGAAGUAGGGGCGUGGUUAAACAUUCCCUUCAGGCAACUGAUUGGGCUCCUACCAGCGUGCAGGAUGCACUCUCUGACUGGAAGGAGUUUUUCGGGGUUGCGACGUCAACCUCCCAGGAUUCACAGGUAGCACACGAAAUUUGACAUCUAAAGAUUGUUGUGUAGUUUCAGAUUAUAUUGGAGAUUCCUAAGGAAUGUGAAGAAGGGUCCACAAACCCCCAGACCUCGGCUGAGUGCGCGCUAAGGUCAACGAAGGACAGAAGUGGGGGUUGUUAUUUAGGGCGCUCUGACCAGAGUGCGGAGCCAUGAGGUCCCACCACAGGGUGCCAAAGGAAACACCGAGACCAGCGCAGAACCAGAGUGGGAAAGUCAUCAAAAGAAAGUGGUCAGAACCAAGGUGGACCAGCCCAUACCAGACGGUGGAACGCACUUCGCACGCUGUCAGGCUCAAAGGAAAAGGCGACACCUGGUAUCAUUGGAGUCAGUGUGCAGCCACUGAGGAACCCCAGCGCUCUCAAGCAUCAGGUGCGCCAGGAUUUACAGGAUAACACCACAACGCUGUGAAAGGGAGCCUAUCGGUGAAUCCUCUACUCAACCACGGUCAUAAUAAAACCCGUAGAGAGAUUCAGUGAGCUUAAGCUCACUCACAAAAAUCGCGCAAAGGAGACAGAGCAGAAGAACAAAGAAGAAGAGGCGGAAGAAGUGGGCAGUGAGCUGCUCUCCUGCUCCACAAAAGAAAAAAAAAAAAAGCAUAAAACAGAAGAGGCGGAAGUAGUGUUUUUUACCUGACCACAUGGUGUUGUAGCAACUCUUACACUCAGAGAGAAGAAGAAAACCAAUAAGAGACUCAGAGAACUAAAAAAAAAAAAAAAAAAAAUUGUUUUUAUAUAUGUAUUUUUGCAUUUCUUGUUGAAAUUUGUGUGUUUCUCCACAGGUGUUUUUCCACAGGGGCACUAAAAUAGCAUUAACCAAACCCCCUAAGGGUUGUGUUGCUGGAGGUCUAUUAUUAUCAGUUGUUAUUGUUACAGGUAUAUUGUGGUAUUUUUGCGACUUUCCAUUCCUGAACAUGUCCAGCUGAUCCACCUAGGAAGACCACAAAGACGCGCUAUUACAGCAGCAUCCAAUGACUGGUGCUUAGAACUUAUUACCAUUACAAUAUAAUCAAGUAUUUACCAAAGGUGUCAUAACAAACCGGUAAAUUUAGGGUUUUCUACUGCAAUAGUUUAUGGGUGAACUCUUAAAAGAGUUCAAAAGGGGGAAUUGUGGAAUGUAUUAACUUUGAUUCAUUUUUAGUACACAUUUAUGAAGGUAUAACAUGCUUUUAUUGUGCAAUAUAUUUGCUUUGAGGCCUGUCUGUUUACCAGAAGAAGAGAAUGUGAAUAGGUUCAGUGUAUGAGUAUCAGGAAAACUUUCAAGGCCAGUCCGAGGCAGUGGGAAAGAACAGAAACUCCAGUUCACAUGCAGCUGGAGAAAAUAAUGAGGGAAGAUAGUUAUUAGGGAGUAAGAUAGCGAUAGGAUGUGUGCGUCAUUCAUUGUGUGACUUUGUAUAAUCUGUGUUCUAACUUUAAUAAAACUAGCCUGAGCGGGAGAGAGAGCGAGAGUUGUUGCCCGGAAUCGGCAGGUGUAUCAUCUCUCCCCUUUGCAAAGGUGAAACUGAAA
Molecule: long non-coding RNA, 1941 nt
Organism: Fundulus heteroclitus (mummichog)
Lineage: Eukaryota; Metazoa; Chordata; Actinopteri; Cyprinodontiformes; Fundulidae
Exons: 2
Source: RefSeq, a predicted model, not a curated record